This 1345-nucleotide ribosomal RNA is filed under the name uncultured bacterium. Its description in RNAcentral is "bacterial SSU rRNA". It matches the Rfam family "Bacterial small subunit ribosomal RNA", at positions 28 to 1381 of the family's 1533-position model. The record is from RNAcentral.
GAUGAACGCUAGCGGGAGGCCUAACACAUGCAAGCCGAGCGGUAUUGUUUCUUCGGAAAUGAGAGAGCGGCGUACGGGUGCGGAACACGUGUGCAACCUGCCUUUAUCUGGGGGAUAGCCUUUCGAAAGGAAGAUUAAUACUCCAUAAUAUGUUGAACGGCAUCGUUUAAUAUUGAAAGCUCCGGCGGAUAGAGAUGGGCACGCGCAAGAUUAGCUAGUUGGUGAGGUAACGGCUCACCAAGGCGAUGAUCUUUAGGGGGCCUGAGAGGGUGAUCCCCCACACUGGUACUGAGACACGGACCAGACUCCUACGGGAGGCAGCAGUGAGGAAUAUUGGUCAAUGGGUGCAAGCCUGAACCAGCCAUCCCGCGUGAAGGACGACUGCCCUAUGGGUUGUAAACUUCUUUUGUAUAGGGAUAAACCUACCCUCGUGAGGGUAGCUGAAGGUACUAUACGAAUAAGCACCGGCUAACUCCGUGCCAGCAGCCGCGGUAAUACGGAGGGUGCAAGCGUUAUCCGGAUUUAUUGGGUUUAAAGGGUCCGUAGGCGGACUUAUAAGUCAGUGGUGAAACCCUGUCGCUUAACGAUAGAACUGCCAUUGAUACUGUAAGUCUUGAGUAUAUUUGAGGUAGCUGGAAUAAGUAGUGUAGCGGUGAAAUGCAUAGAUAUUACUUAGAACACCAAUUGCGAAGGCAGGUUACCAAGAUAUAACUGACGCUGAGGGACGAAAGCGUGGGGAGCGAACAGGAUUAGAUACCCUGGUAGUCCACGCCGUAAACGAUGCUAACUCGUUUUUGGGCUUUAGGGUUCAGAGACCAAGCGAAAGUGAUAAGUUAGCCACCUGGGGAGUACGCUCGCAAGAGUGGAACUCAAAGGAAUUGACGGGGGCCCGCACAAGCGGUGGAUUAUGUGGUUUAAUUCGAUGAUACGCGAGGAACCUUACCAAGACUUAAGUGGGAAUUGACAGCUUUAGAAAUAGAGCUUUCUUCGGACAAUUUUCAAGGUGCUGCAUGGUUGUCGUCAGCUCGUGCCGUGAGGUGUUAGGUUAAGUCCUGCAACGAGCGCAACCCCUGUCACUAGUUGCCAUCAUUCAGUUGGGGACUCUAGUGAGACUGCCUACGCAAGUAGAGAGGAAGGUGGGGAUGACGUCAAAUCAUCACGGCCCUUACGUCUUGGGCCACACACGUAAUACAAUGGCCGGUACAGAGGGCAGCUACACAGCGAUGUGAUGCAAAUCUCGAAAGCCGGUCUCAGUUCGGAUUGGAGUCUGCAACUCGACUCUAUGAAGCUGGAAUCGCUAGUAAUCGCGCAUCAGCCAUGGCGCGGUGAAUACGUUCCCGGGCCU